AUCUAACAUAGUAAUUUUCAUACACAUUUCAUUUUUCAUUCACAUGCAAGAGACUUGUUUAAUGUAGCAUCUUUGCUUAGAAGAAAAUUAGGACACCUUUUAUAACAAGAUGUGAGCCUUUUGGAUUUGUUGGUGUAUAUUUUAAUUUAUGGCCAUCACCAAAUCAUUUCACAUACCUAUCCUUUCAUGGGCUAGUGUUCCAGCCCCUAUGCCAAUGCUAUUAUUGGUAUAGAUCAGCAAGGAUGACUCACUGUGGAGACAGAGAAUCCAGGAAAAUGCCAUCCUUUCUAUGUUACCCAACUAAGGGCCAAGGACCAAGGAGUUUGGGUCAGGCAUUCAUCCUCCAUGCACUGAAGAUAAGGGAUGUCUGGGAGCUGGGCAGCAGAACUGAUCUGUCAAGUUAAAUAUGUGCAGGUUGUUUCUGAGAGAAUGAGCAAGCAGAUUUGGUCUCACACAGGGAUAAGAGGAGUUUGGUGGACAUUCCCUGUAGGGCACACAUUCAUCUUCGCAGUGACAUAAUCAUUAAUCUCAGCCCAUCUCUCACACCUGGUGAGUUAUUCAGAAAAAGCAUUUAUAGGCAUUCACUGUGCAGGACUAAAGAUUGUUUACACUGUGGGAAGCUAAAGUGGCCAGUAAUGCUGUACCUGCAUAUUCCCCCAUCCACCCUCCACCCCAACAACCCAGAAAUUGCUUUUUUCCCCUUUUUCUCAAUAACAUUUGGGAUGGUAGCUUUUGAUAAGGCUGGAACUUUAGGGAAGCUCUGUAGAAGACUCCUUCCUUAAGUUUUUUCUGUUGAUAUUUCAGAAGAGACAGUUAAGAGUACUCUCACAUAUGAGCAACUUCCUAAAAUAAGGCCAAGCCAGCAGAAAGUAUUAUUAAAUUAACCUCAUCUCUCUCUGUGGAGCCCUUCACUCUGACCAGCUGAGUGCAUUUCAUUUCUAUUAUAUUAGAAUCCACUGUAAAGAAUUAUGUUACAGUGAUUUCAUUUUUUCAACAAACCUACUCACCAUCUGCAUUUGGCAAAACUCAUUGACAUCAGUCUUUGUUGCUUAGCAAUAAAUACUUGCGCUGUCUCCA
Molecule: long non-coding RNA, 1077 nt
Filed under: Coturnix japonica (Japanese quail)
Lineage: Eukaryota; Metazoa; Chordata; Aves; Galliformes; Phasianidae
Description: lncRNA (ENSCJPG00005005244.1)
Source: RNAcentral